CACUACCUACUAACAUUACAGGCUUCUGUUUUGCUAUCAACAAAUCCAUAAAAAAUCGGAUCCGAGUAGUUUCAGACGUUGACACCAAGCAUGACUGUAAGCAAUAUUUCGUAUUGAAUAAAGUAACAAAGAAAAACUAUUAAAAUUGCAGUGUGUGGGCAAAGACAUACCUGUAGAGGUAUAUCAGGAUCCAAUUCAAAGGACUCUACUUUUUCCGCCCAAGAACCAUUUACUGAACUCGUUACGCCAAUCCACGAGUUGAUCUUGAAAAAGACCAGAACCAAAACCCCAGACGACACAAAAUACGAAAUAUGUUUCAUACCUUUAAGAAAAAUAAAGGUGCUAUUUAUAUGUAACAAUGGAAAAAGAAUGAUGACAGGAGAUCUUAAGACCAUACCAUUCUUUUGGGCAGUCACUUGGUAGUAAGCUUUUGUUCAGGAAACACUCCAAUAGAUAGCACGUUAACUGAAUCUGCUGUAGCUCACUAAGUGGCGUUAUUCGUUUAUAUUUCUUACACGACUCUAAUAGUGAAGGAAUAUAUUUGUCAAACAUGACUGUUAGCAUUGCCUUUUCGGAUUCA
RNAcentral lists this unclassified non-coding RNA (580 nucleotides) under Melitaea cinxia (Glanville fritillary). Its description in RNAcentral is "misc RNA ENSMCXG00005012036.1". The record is from RNAcentral. Lineage: Eukaryota; Metazoa; Arthropoda; Insecta; Lepidoptera; Nymphalidae.